Molecule: ribosomal RNA, 252 nt
Filed under: uncultured bacterium
Lineage: Bacteria
Description: partial 16S ribosomal RNA
Rfam family: Bacterial small subunit ribosomal RNA
Source: RNAcentral
UACAGGGGGGGCAAGCGUUGUUCGGAAUUACUGGGCGUAAAGGGCCAGUAGGCGGCCAACUAAGUCACACGUGAAAUCCCUGGCUUAACCUGGGAACUGCGUGUGAUACUGGAUGGCUUGAAUUCGGGAGAGGGAUGCAGAAUUCCAGGUGUAGCGGUGAAAUGCGUAGAUAUCUGGAGGAAUACCGGUGGCGAAGGCGGCAUCCUGGACCGACAUUGACGCUGAACGGCGAAAGCUAGGGGAGCAAACGGG